GACGAACGCUGGCGGCGUGCUUAACACAUGCAAGUCGAACGGAAAGGCCCUGCUUUUGUGGGGUGCUCGAGUGGCGAACGGGUGUGUAACACGUGAGUAUCCUGCCCUUGACUUUGGGAUAACUUCAGGAAACUGGGGCUAAUACCGGAUUGGAGCUCCUGCUGCAUGGUGGGGGUUGGAAAGUUUAGGCGGUUGGGGAUGGACUUGCGGCUUAUCAGCUUGUUGGUGGGGGAGCGGCUUACCAAGGCUUUGGCGGGUAGCCGGCCUGAGAGGGUGACCGGGGUCAUGGCGACUGAGAUACGGCGCAGUCUGGUACGGUAGACAGUAGGGGGGAACCUGACACAAUGGGGCGGCGUGUGAUGCAACGGCGCUGGGAUUGUGAUGCCGGUCUUGUUGGUGUAAACGGCUUUAGGCUGUGACGAAGCGUGAGUGACGGUAAUGAGUAAAGAAGCACCGGCUAACUUCGUG
RNAcentral lists this ribosomal RNA (468 nucleotides) under uncultured bacterium. RNAcentral describes it as "partial 16S ribosomal RNA". It matches the Rfam family "Bacterial small subunit ribosomal RNA", at positions 28 to 507 of the family's 1533-position model. The record is from RNAcentral.